This 2200-nucleotide ribosomal RNA is filed under the name Escherichia coli. Its description in RNAcentral is "partial 23S ribosomal RNA". It matches the Rfam family "Bacterial large subunit ribosomal RNA", at positions 1 to 2226 of the family's 2925-position model. The record is from RNAcentral. Lineage: Bacteria; Pseudomonadati; Pseudomonadota; Gammaproteobacteria; Enterobacterales; Enterobacteriaceae.
GGUUAAGCGACUAAGCGUACACGGUGGAUGCCCUGGCAGUCAGAGGCGAUGAAGGACGUGCUAAUCUGCGAUAAGCGUCGGUGAGGUGAUAUGAACCGUUAUAACCGGCGAUUUCCGAAUGGGGAAACCCAGUGUGUUUCGACACACUAUCAUUAACUGAAUCCAUAGGUUAAUGAGGCGAACCGGGGGAACUGAAACAUCUAAGUACCCCGAGGAAAAGAAAUCAACCGAGAUUCCCCCAGUAGCGGCGAGCGAACGGGGAGGAGCCCAGAGCCUGAAUCAGUGUGUGUGUUAGUGGAAGCGUCUGGAAAGGCGUGCGAUACAGGGUGACAGCCCCGUACACAAAAAUGCACAUAUUGUGAGCUCGAUGAGUAGGGCGGGACACGUGGUAUCCUGUCUGAAUAUGGGGGGACCAUCCUCCAAGGCUAAAUACUCCUGACUGACCGAUAGUGAACCAGUACCGUGAGGGAAAGGCGAAAAGAACCCCGGCGAGGGGAGUGAAAAAGAACCUGAAACCGUGUACGUACAAGCAGUGGGAGCCUCUUAAUGGGGUGACUGCGUACCUUUUGUAUAAUGGGUCAGCGACUUAUAUUCUGUAGCAAGGUUAACCGAAUAGGGGAGCCGAAGGGAAACCGAGUCUUAACUGGGCGUUAAGUUGCAGGGUAUAGACCCGAAACCCGGUGAUCUAGCCAUGGGCAGGUUGAAGGUUGGGUAACACUAACUGGAGGACCGAACCGACUAAUGUUGAAAAAUUAGCGGAUGACUUGUGGCUGGGGGUGAAAGGCCAAUCAAACCGGGAGAUAGCUGGUUCUCCCCGAAAGCUAUUUAGGUAGCGCCUCGUGAAUUCAUCUCCGGGGGUAGAGCACUGUUUCGGCAAGGGGGUCAUCCCGACUUACCAACCCGAUGCAAACUGCGAAUACCGGAGAAUGUUAUCACGGGAGACACACGGCGGGUGCUAACGUCCGUCGUGAAGAGGGAAACAACCCAGACCGCCAGCUAAGGUCCCAAAGUCAUGGUUAAGUGGGAAACGAUGUGGGAAGGCCCAGACAGCCAGGAUGUUGGCUUAGAAGCAGCCAUCAUUUAAAGAAAGCGUAAUAGCUCACUGGUCGAGUCGGCCUGCGCGGAAGAUGUAACGGGGCUAAACCAUGCACCGAAGCUGCGGCAGCGACACUAUGUGUUGUUGGGUAGGGGAGCGUUCUGUAAGCCUGUGAAGGUGGCCUGUGAGGGUUGCUGGAGGUAUCAGAAGUGCGAAUGCUGACAUAAGUAACGAUAAAGCGGGUGAAAAGCCCGCUCGCCGGAAGACCAAGGGUUCCUGUCCAACGUUAAUCGGGGCAGGGUGAGUCGACCCCUAAGGCGAGGCCGAAAGGCGUAGUCGAUGGGAAACAGGUUAAUAUUCCUGUACUUGGUGUUACUGCGAAGGGGGGACGGAGAAGGCUAUGUUGGCCGGGCGACGGUUGUCCCGGUUUAAGCGUGUAGGCUGGUUUUCCAGGCAAAUCCGGAAAACCAAGGCUGAGGCGUGAUGACGAGGCACUACGGUGCUGAAGCGACAAAUGCCCUGCUUCCAGGAAAAGCCUCUAAGCAUCAGGUAACAUCAAAUCGUACCCCAAACCGACACAGGUGGUCAGGUAGAGAAUACCAAGGCGCUUGAGAGAACUCGGGUGAAGGAACUAGGCAAAAUGGUGCCGUAACUUCGGGAGAAGGCACGCUGAUAUGUAGGUGAAGCGACUUGCUCGUGGAGCUGAAAUCAGUCGAAGAUACCAGCUGGCUGCAACUGUUUAUUAAAAACACAGCACUGUGCAAACACGAAAGUGGACGUAUACGGUGUGACGCCUGCCCGGUGCCGGAAGGUUAAUUGAUGGGGUUAGCGGUAACGCGAAGCUCUUGAUCGAAGCCCCGGUAAACGGCGGCCGUAACUAUAACGGUCCUAAGGUAGCGAAAUUCCUUGUCGGGUAAGUUCCGACCUGCACGAAUGGCGUAAUGAUGGCCAGGCUGUCUCCACCCGAGACUCAGUGAAAUUGAACUCGCUGUGAAGAUGCAGUGUACCCGCGGCAAGACGGAAAGACCCCGUGAACCUUUACUAUAGCUUGACACUGAACAUUGAGCCUUGAUGUGUAGGAUAGGUGGGAGGCUUUGAAGUGUGGACGCCAGUCUGCAUGGAGCCGACCUUGAAAUACCACCCUUUAAUGUUUGAUGUUCUAAC